CCUGGCGCCAGCCCCUCCAGAAGCCAAAGGGCAGAAUUGCCAUGUCAGGCAACACAAAGCCCCAGGACAUUGUUUUCCAGACCAAGAACUGAUGCUUUUGGCUGCUGCAGAAGCUCCCCCAUCUCGUCUGAAGCUGCUGAAAAGCCUGUGCCAGUGCCUUGAUGUUCUCCCCCCACGAGGGAAUUAAUGGCUGGGAAGGAAUGGAGAGCACAGCACGAAGAGCAGGCAUGGUC
Molecule: long non-coding RNA, 233 nt
Filed under: Zonotrichia albicollis (white-throated sparrow)
Lineage: Eukaryota; Metazoa; Chordata; Aves; Passeriformes; Passerellidae
Description: lncRNA (ENSZALG00000008287.1)
Source: RNAcentral